RNAcentral lists this ribosomal RNA (250 nucleotides) under uncultured bacterium. Its description in RNAcentral is "partial 16S ribosomal RNA". It matches the Rfam family "Bacterial small subunit ribosomal RNA", at positions 524 to 776 of the family's 1533-position model. The record is from RNAcentral.
UACAGAGGUCCCAAGCGUUCGGAUUCACUGGGCGUAAAGGGUGCGUAGGUGGUGAGGUAAGUCGGAUGUGAAAGCUCGGAGCUCAACUCCGAAAUGGCAUUGGAAACUACCUUGCUCGAGGGUUGGAGGGGGGACUGGAAUGCUUGGUGUAGCAGUGAAAUGCGUAGAUAUCAAGCGGAACACCAGUGGCGAAGGCGAGUCCCUGGACAACUACUGACACUGAGGCACGAAAGCUAGGGGAGCAAACAGG